UUGUGAGUGUGUGUGUGUGUGGACAAGGAUAAGGUUAGGUGGGAUUUACCCUGGAUAACCUUAGCCGGCUUAGUGCAGAAGGGGCCUAAGUUGUGAAAUCAAGCAGAACUGUACGUUAUACAUGUGGGCGAGCUCACACGGCUACUGUAACACAACGUUGACCAAAAAACUCAUCCGCCUGUACAUCAUUACUAGUGAUUCAGUAAACACAAGUAAGAAUCCUUACCUUUCUGGGUGUAAAGGUAAGCUCGUACAAAAGCGGCGCCACCCUUUUCCAAGUGAAGUUGGGCUUGUUUCACGUAUCCAACUCUUGAAAACUAAAGUGUCAGGUUUCAGGAAGGUGUGUCUUGUCUGCUCGAGUCAUCUCAGACAGCGUGUCGCCCGUGGUCGCUGCUCUGCGGGGCUCUCCCGCCUUGGAUCGAUAUCCCGCUGACCUUCAGGUCGAACACGGCCGCGCCGCCGCCGAGACCCACCGCCGUCGCCAUCAGGAGCGCUGACACACGGCGACACCCCUCCUCCUUGCAGGCAUUCAGGCUCCCCCACCCAGCCACUUUCAGAGGUUUAUGUCUGGCAGUUGUGGGACUGCUCCAGCGUAACCGCCCCCACCUUCUCCCAAGAGCAACAAACUGAUCCCUGGUCACACUUUAGAAGCUGUCAGCUCAAGCAUGCUCCUCUGCCGACAGGUGAGGAAUGUUUCCAUUCACCUCUCCGUCUCUCUGCGGGCGCACAAACACACACACACACACACACACAUUUUCAAGAUGGAGAUGAAAAGAUGAAAAGGCGGUGACAGCAGAAGACAGAAGAUGAGAGGAGCGAGGAGAGUGGGAAACACGAUCAGUCAUCGCCGUCCCUCCUGGUUGCCCAGGCGACCUCCUGCUCACUUUUAGUCACACCUGACGGAGAUAAUUGCAUUUUCAAGGCUAAUUCCUGCACGUGUUUAUCCAUGUUGACUUCUGAAUUAGCCCCAGUUCAUCAGCUUAUAGCAAAGGUGUCCAAAGUGCGGCCUGCAGCUCUUUUUUUUUUUAACCCCCGCCUUGUCUUUUAUGAGUGGGACCCUUUUGGAUCCCCGAGA
This is a long non-coding RNA of Nerophis lumbriciformis (worm pipefish), 1075 nucleotides long. RefSeq lists it as uncharacterized. NCBI's taxonomy places the organism in Eukaryota, Metazoa, Chordata, Actinopteri, Syngnathiformes, Syngnathidae. The record is from RefSeq and is a predicted model, not a curated record.